This 116-nucleotide transfer RNA is filed under the name Cadophora sp. DSE1049. It matches the Rfam family "tRNA". Rfam says of the family: Transfer RNA (tRNA) molecules are approximately 80 nucleotides in length. Their secondary structure includes four short double-helical elements and three loops (D, anti-codon, and T loops). The record is from Rfam by way of RNAcentral. Lineage: Eukaryota; Fungi; Ascomycota; Leotiomycetes; Helotiales; Ploettnerulaceae.
GGCGAAGUGGCGGAGUGGUUAACGCGAUUGACUAGAAUUGAUACUCUGAUUCUUUCAGAAGUAACUGUUUAAAUCAAUUUCCUUCGGGAGCGUAGGUUCAAAUCCUGCCUUCGUCG